GGAGAUAAAGCUCAGGGGUUGAGUGCUUGUUGGCAUGCAUGAGGCCUUGGGUUCGAAUCCCAGUAACUCAG
Molecule: transfer RNA, 71 nt
Filed under: Neotoma lepida (desert woodrat)
Lineage: Eukaryota; Metazoa; Chordata; Mammalia; Rodentia; Cricetidae
Rfam family: tRNA
About the family: Transfer RNA (tRNA) molecules are approximately 80 nucleotides in length. Their secondary structure includes four short double-helical elements and three loops (D, anti-codon, and T loops).
Source: Rfam by way of RNAcentral